GGCUCUGUGUUUCAUGUUAUGUUUUAUUUUCUAAAAGUUGUAUUAGUUGUAUGAUUAAAAUUUAAAAUAUGAGACCCGCAGACCAUCUCAAGUUAUUUCUUCUCAAUGUGAUUGGUAUUGGAACUCUCGUCAUAUUAAGAAAUCUUUUGUUCAGCAGAAGUGAUAUCUAAAAGCAUUCAACUCUCUCCGUCUAUAUUGUGAAUAAGAGAUCAAUAGAGACCACCGAUGGUUACGAGUCAAUCGCAAUUGCAGUCAUGCCCUCAAAUGCUUUCGUAUGCAGUGAACUGGCAAUGAACUGCGCCAGGAGUCAAGCCAAUUCACCAGAAUGUUUGCACAUUGGGCAGUCAGGUAUUCAGUCAGUCAGCCAGUCAGCCAGCCAGUCAGUCAGCUGGUGCUCUAAACGACAAGGAAAAAGCUGAGAAACGAGAACAAUGAGCUGCAGUCUGAUUUAUCCAAUACAUGCAGCUCCCUUUAACUUUUGUUUUGCUGCCAAAGUUCUGCGUAAUUUUCCAUGCUGUUUACAAAAUGAACGAAGCAAGAAGCAAACAAACAAAUUGCCAACGAAAACUUUGUACGUUUUUCUCGUUUCGGGUUGCAAAAAAAUGUGGAAAUGCAAUUUUGUGCAAGUGGAAGUAUUCCUCUACUGGUCAUUAAAUUACAUUUAAACUUUCUUUA
Drosophila albomicans is the source of this 675-nucleotide long non-coding RNA. RefSeq lists it as uncharacterized. Lineage: Eukaryota; Metazoa; Arthropoda; Insecta; Diptera; Drosophilidae. The record is from RefSeq and is a predicted model, not a curated record. The transcript has 2 exons.